This 459-nucleotide ribosomal RNA is filed under the name uncultured bacterium. Its description in RNAcentral is "partial 16S ribosomal RNA". It matches the Rfam family "Bacterial small subunit ribosomal RNA", at positions 338 to 795 of the family's 1533-position model. The record is from RNAcentral.
CCUACGGGAGGCAGCCGUGAGGAAUAUUUGUCAAUGGCCGCAGGGCUGAACCAGCCAAGUCGCGUGAGGGAUGACGGUCCUACGGAUUGUAAACCUCUUUUGUCAGGGAGCAAAGGUCCCUACGUGUAGCGCUUUGGGAGUAACCGAAGCAAAAGGCACGGGUAACCCCGUGCCAGCCGGCGCGGUAAUACGGAGGAUGCGAGCGUUAUCCGGAUUUGUUGGGUUUAAAGGGGGCGCAGGCGGAAUGUCAAGUCAGCGGUAACAUUUCGGGGCUCAACCCCGUCGUGCCGUUGAAACUGGCGUUCUUGAGUGAGCGAGAAGUAUGCGGAAUGCGUGGUGUAGCGGUGAAAUGCAUAGAUAUCACGCAGAACUCCGAUUGCGAAGGCAGCAUACCGGCGCUCAACUGACGCUCAGGCACGAAAGCGUGGGUAUCGAACAGGAUUAGAUACCCUUGUAGUC